Molecule: ribosomal RNA, 253 nt
Filed under: uncultured Ruminococcus sp.
Lineage: Bacteria; Bacillati; Bacillota; Clostridia; Eubacteriales; Oscillospiraceae
Description: partial 16S ribosomal RNA
Rfam family: Bacterial small subunit ribosomal RNA
Source: RNAcentral
UACGGAGGAUGCGAGCGUUAUCCGGAUUUAUUGGGUUUAAAGGGUGCGUAGGCGGGUAAGCAAGUCAGAAGUGAAAUCCAUGGGCUUAACCCAUGAACUGCUUUUGAAACUGUUUAUCUUGAGUGAAGUAGAGGUAGGCGGAAUUCCCGGUGUAGCGGUGAAAUGCGUAGAGAUCGGGAGGAACACCAGUGGCGAAGGCGGCCUACUGGGCUUUAACUGACGCUGAAGCACGAAAGCGUGGGUAGCAAACAGG